This is a long non-coding RNA of Hibiscus syriacus, 379 nucleotides long. RefSeq lists it as uncharacterized. Lineage: Eukaryota; Viridiplantae; Streptophyta; Magnoliopsida; Malvales; Malvaceae. The record is from RefSeq and is a predicted model, not a curated record. The transcript has 3 exons.
UAGCAGCAUGUAAAAGACGGAGCGCAAGUUUACAGUAGCUGAUUUGCAAGUAAAGGGUUCAACCGACGGCAGCACAGAUCGCCAGAUACGACGUCUGUUUCUCAAUCCGAUCAUUCUUAUCUUAGCCUCCAAUGGCAGCAGCUGUGGAAACUUCACCGGUUUUAGAGAUUUUAGUUCGAGAACCGGAUGGAUAUUCAAUCUGGAAUGGGCCUCCAUUCAAUAACAAUAAUCAACCUGGGAUUAAGCUUGAAAAAGUUCCUUGCACUAGUGCCAAGUUUAGUGAGGAUGGUUCGAGGCUUAUGGUGACGAAAAUUGACUGUGCUAUUAGCAUUUAUGAUUCCAGCACCUUGAAAGAGAUUAGAAGUUUUCAGAUCCCUAA